Molecule: ribosomal RNA, 379 nt
Filed under: uncultured bacterium
Lineage: Bacteria
Description: partial 16S ribosomal RNA
Rfam family: Bacterial small subunit ribosomal RNA
Source: RNAcentral
UGGGGAAUAUUGGACAAUGGGCGGAAGCCUGAUCCAGCAACGCCGCGUGAGGGAUGACGGCCCUUCGGGUUGUAAACCUCUUUUCAGUACCGACGAAGCGAAAGUGACGGUAGGUACAGAAGAAGGACCGGCCAACUACGUGCCAGCAGCCGCGGUAAUACGUAGGUCCGAGCGUUGUCCGGAAUUAUUGGGCGUAAAGGGCUCGUAGGCGGUUUGUCGCGUCGGGAGUGAAAACACGGGCUUAACUCGUUGCUUGCUUUCGAUACGGGCAGACUAGAGGUAUGCAGGGGAGAAUGGAAUUCCUGGUGUAGCGGUGAAAUGCGCAGAUAUCAGGAGGAACACCGGUGGCGAAGGCGGUUCUCUGGGCAUUACCUGACGC